RNAcentral lists this ribosomal RNA (484 nucleotides) under uncultured bacterium. RNAcentral's name for it is "partial 16S ribosomal RNA". It matches the Rfam family "Bacterial small subunit ribosomal RNA", at positions 30 to 507 of the family's 1533-position model. The record is from RNAcentral.
AUUGAACGCUGGCGGCAGGCCUAACACAUGCAAGUCGAGCGGAUGAAGGGAGCUUGCUCCUGGAUUCAGCGGCGGACGGGUGAGUAAUGCCUAGGAAUCUGCCUGGUAGUGGGGGAUAACGUCCGGAAACGGGCGCUAAUACCGCAUACGUCCUGAGGGAGAAAGUGGGGGAUCUUCGGACCUCACGCUAUCUGAUGAGCCUAGGUCGGAUUAGCUAGUUGGUGGGGUAAAGGCCUACCAAGGCGACGAUUCGUAACUGGUCUGAGUGGAUGAUCAGUCACACUGGAACGGAGACACGGUCCAGGCUCCUACGGGAGGCAGCAGUGGGGAAUAUUGGACAAUGGGCGAAAGCCUGAUCCAGCCAUGCCGCGUGUGUGAAGAAGGUCUUCGGAUUGUAAAGCACUUUAAGUUGGGAGAAAGGGCAGUAAGUUAAUACCUUGCUGUUUUGACGUUACCAACAGAAUAAGCACCGGCUAACUUCGUG